RNAcentral lists this long non-coding RNA (556 nucleotides) under Bos taurus (domestic cattle). RNAcentral describes it as "long non-coding RNA NONBTAT023134". The record is from RNAcentral. Lineage: Eukaryota; Metazoa; Chordata; Mammalia; Artiodactyla; Bovidae.
UUUAUAUUAAUAAAACCUUAUUUUCAUUUAAUGAUGAUAUAGGGGGAAAAAAAAACAGUCCUAGAAACAUCAUUAGCUCAGAGAGGAGUGGGCAGUGUCCUUCUGAAAUGGAUUUUCACAUAAUGGCAUUUUAGAAGGUAUUUAAAUCAUACAGAUCUGACCCGUUCUGGGUAUGGUUUUAUGCAAAGAAAUCUUAAUGAAGUUUUCAACAUGGCUCCUAAUUUGGGGGCAUUUCAUGGUUCAAAUUUUUGGUCCCUUCUGGAACUUCAAGGUGCUUCCAAUUAACAAUAACUUUGAACACUGACUCCUGCAGUAUGGUAUGCCUCCCCUGCCAGGUGGGCUUUCUGUGGAUACUCAUGGCACUCUACGUGCCCGCAACCAAGACAAGCAGAGGUUCACCACUGUAUUCCCCAGAAGAGGUAUGGCAUUGAUUUAAAACUUCAACAUUAUUUUCCAGGUUGAGAAACUGGAAACAUCGGAGCAAGUAAGCCUAAAAAUAGCCUUGUGUUUUUCUGGUUACUAUAUCUUUCAUAUAGAACUCAAAAUUAGUGAAAAG